RNAcentral lists this ribosomal RNA (442 nucleotides) under uncultured bacterium. RNAcentral describes it as "partial 16S ribosomal RNA". It matches the Rfam family "Bacterial small subunit ribosomal RNA", at positions 338 to 795 of the family's 1533-position model. The record is from RNAcentral.
CCUACGGGAGGCAGCAGUGGGGGAUAUUGCACAAUGGGGGAAACCCUGAUGCAGCGACGCCGCGUGGGCGAAGAAGUAUUUCGGUAUGUAAAGCCCUAUCAGCAGGGAAGAAGAAAUGACGGUACCUGAGUAAGAAGCACCGGCUAAAUACGUGCCAGCAGCCGCGGUAAUUCGUAUGGUGCAAGCGUUAUCCGGAUUUACUGGGUGGAAAGGGAGCGUAGGCGGCACGGCAAGCCUGAUGUGAAAGCCCGCGGCGCAACCGCGGGACGGCAUUGGAAACUGCCGGGCUGGAGUGCCGGAGAGGUAGGCGGAAUUCCUGGUGUAGCGGUGAAAUGCGUAGAUAUUAGGAGGAACACCAGUGGCGAAGGCGGGCUCCUGGACAGUAACUGACGCUGAGGCUCGAAGGCGUGGGGAGCAAACAGGAUUAGAUACCCUGGUAGUC